Long non-coding RNA from Scatophagus argus, 2684 nucleotides. RefSeq lists it as uncharacterized. NCBI's taxonomy places the organism in Eukaryota, Metazoa, Chordata, Actinopteri, Scatophagidae. The transcript is spliced from 2 exons. The record is from RefSeq and is a predicted model, not a curated record.
ACCUCUGGGAAAUUGUACCAAGCGUUUUACAUUGUUUUUGAAAUUUUCAUUGACUAAACAAUGAAUUGAGACAAUGGCCAGAUAAAUUGAUAAUUAUACAAUGAUUCCCAGUCCUAAAACAUACAUGGACAUUACUACAUACCUUUUAUUAUUCUACAAUUAUUAUGUUAUCCACGUCCUCCAGGCAGUUGCCAUCACAAAGGUUACAGUGGCUAUAAUUUCAAAGCAUACAGUAGAAUAUAGCAGCCAACAACAACUGCAGGAAUGAUCACCUCUGGCUGUCUCUGUUUGACAGCUCUGGCACACAGAGAAUGCAAACACGACAUGCGACUUGUGGGAUGAUAUUUUAUUCUGGGACACGAAUGAGUUUUGACCACUGAGGUUUCAAUUCAGGCAACUGACAGCAGUUCUAUGAGUUUGAGAUUGGGAGAAGGCACAAUAAUGUGCUCCAGUAUUACCAAGGGCGUGUUAUUGCAAACAUGCCAUUUUCUUGCAGUGACCUACUGUAAGCUUAAAAAAAAAAAAAAGGAAAAAAGGGAGUUAUAAAAUAUUUUUUCAAAUUUGACCUUGUGAGGUAAAAUCCAUCAAAUCACCUUUAAUUUUGUUUUAAAUUUAUCACAUCUGUGAUUGUGCAGGACUUCCAGCUUUCUGCAGAAGAACACAAUCUAUUGUAGUCUCUUAAAACAUAUUGACUGUGUAUAUGGAUAUGAUGUCUAUUAAUACUUUCCAUAAAGGAUAAUGUAACUGCUUUAACAGCAGCUGAGUAGUUUGAAUCUACAAAUGGAGUUGAGCUAAUCGAUAGCAGCAGCCAUAGCAGGUAAUGAGGCUGUAUCAAAAUGUUGAGUUGAGGCUAUUUUAUGCCCUGCCUAUCUUUCACUUCAUCAACUUCCUCACAACGCUCAUUAAAAAUGCACGGGGAAUGAAAGUUAAUGUAUGUGAUGAAAAAUGUAUAACCUAAUGAAAACCUAUAGAAGAACCUGACCUUUCAGUUGUUGAUACAUCUGAUGCAAAGUGCUUAAAAACCUGUUGUCGUGGAUGCUUUGCAGCUCUGCACACAUAACCACUUGUCUCAUCCAUUCCACAGUUUUUAAUGUCCAAAAUAGUAGUAUAACAGAUAAAAUACAGAUGAAUACAAAUGCUUUGCUUCCUAAUUGUUUGAAAUUGCUUCACAGAUUUUUGCAUAUCCACAUUCGGUGUUUAUAGAACACCUGCUGUACCUUUGUUAUUUCAGACACUGGCAGAACACUAAUCAAAACGGGUGUUUUGUAAGCGUGUUCAUAAUUCCAGGGGUCAUAACAAAUUCUAAUUAGGCUUGUAGCCAUGCCAGGCCAAGCUCUCAUUGCAAACAGGAGGGUAAUUAUUUCCACUGCACAGUAUUAUUGACACAAACUUUUCUUUUGAUUAAAAAAGAAAAACUAAUCAGUCUUUGUAUGCACCAUAGUGGUUGAGGAGGCGGUAAGGUGAUCUACUUAGCUGCAGAAAUAGCAGAAAGGGUAUAAUGGUGGGCAGCGCCAUGUGAUAUAGACAGCUCAGUAAUAGGCCUCAUUAGAUGCCCAAAGGCCAAGAAAUGUGGCACUCUGUUUUCCCUUAGGCUGGAAACACAAUAAUAUAAAGAAAAAAAAUAAUAAUGAUGAAUUGUAAUUGUCAGGGAAGCCAGGGAGUAUAUAUUUAAUAUUUUAUUAAGAAAACCAUAUGGAUGUUUUGCAUGAUAACAUGCUCUUGUGUUCUCACAGUAUGGUACAUCUGUGUCUUUAAAGUUGACAUCAUGAACUAAUUAUUCGAACCAUAUUUGAUCAACCCAGAGGCUUAAUCUUUCACUGAGGAAAUACCCUUCGGUUGUGAGUAACAAUAACUCAUCGUUAGACAUAACUAACAGAAUAAACACAAACUUUCUCUCCGUUUCUCUCAGAUAGCAUAGGCUUUCUAAGUAUACGCAGGAGGUAACCAGUUGGUGUGGUAGUUGCUUGGUGUGUGUUUACUGUGUACACUUUUACUAAUCACUAUUGGAAUAAUAACCUAUUCACAAAGGGUUUAAAAGCUGAUCCCCUCAAGGUAAUUCCGGUUACUGUAAGAUUAGAGUAAAUUAGGGUUGGAGUUAGAAUUGUUGGGUAAAUUGAGGUUUAGUAUCCAGGCAAUAAACAUAAUUUAAUGCAUUUUCCUCCUAGGUGACAAAAACAACUGUAUGUGUACGUCUCCGUCUGUGUUUAUAUUCUCUUGCAGUACCUGAAAUUAUGAUGAAGUGAAGACCUCACCUAAUCUCAGGCUGCAUCUUGUCCUCUUACCAACAAUGACUACAGCACCAUCUUGUGAAAGAAUGAAAUUUUGAGACAGGCUAGGGAGAACGCAGGGCUCUAAGGCAAACACAAAGAAAGGCGUAGAUUGCGGCAGUGUCAGCAGAUGGCAGUAGCAUCACACCAUGACAAAAGUACAGAUUAAUAAUCUUUGCAAGAGAUCAUAAUAUCUUUUGCAGACACAUAACAAGUAGCCUUAAGCUGUGGUAAACAAAAUACAAAACUGCAAUUAUCAUUUAUCAGAUUCUGCAUAUAUAGGCAACAAGAGCCUGUUAUCAGACAGUGGAAUUUAUUUAAAUUCAUUACCUUCUGCAAGGUUUAUCGUAACACUGUAUGCUAAUAAGUGAGUGUAUCACUGAUGAUUGCUAUUUAUUAAACAGUGCAUCAGAAAAA